AAAAAUUUAAAUAUUCAGAAGUAAUCAUUGGCUCAACUUCAUAACUGAGUGGCAACUCCAGCUAAAGUUCUCAUUAACUGCAGUAUGCCAAGCCUUGUCAUGGCUGAAAAAAAAGUCGAGCAAACAGGGUUUCCAUUAAAAUUUUAUUUAUGACCUGAGUGACACAGAUUUGUUUCCGUGCUUCAAAAGGGGAAGGAGGGAGAAAGGUCUCCGGUUUGUCUCUGGCUUCUUUCACCUCUGUACGGACCAACCUCCCACUUCUUGUUCUUCAUUUUCCCGGUGGCCGUGGGAACAACCAUGCCAUCUCUGGGAGUGUGCCGGGGAAGGGGAGCAGACAACAGAACCUGCGCAGGGCUUGCUUACUUUGAGGGAGGCUUCACUUUAAGGCCCUGCUGUGUGCGCGCCAUGUGAGCCUCCGCCUGGUCUCCAGCAGGGGCCUCCCUGGGCAAGCACAGCACCCAGCCCAGCUGCCUCCCCAGGGUGAGCCCCGAAGAUUCCUCAAGCAUGGCGGGCCCUUCACAAGGCUUGCCUACCUUGCUCUGUGCAAAUCCCCUUGGCUUGAGAAAGAGAAGGGAGAGAAGUUGAGAGAAGAACAAAAAGGUGGGACCUUGCCCCAGAAAAUGAAGACUCAGAAAGCUCAGAACCCACAGUCUAAAUCUAAAACCUUGUCUGUGCCCACUUGCACCUCCCCAGCCUCAGCUGCACGGUGGGAGUGCACAGCACUGACAGCUGCCGCAGAGGCCCUGGCUCUGCACUCAGGCUCCUUAGCAAUCCCAGGCCUGCCCUCCCCUGGAGCAGAGGUACGAGACGAUGUGACUCCAGAGCCCUACUGAUUGUGUCAUUCUGCUAAAAACCAUUUUCAGCAGAUUCAGUGCCUCUUUACUAUUACCAAUGUAACAAACACGUUUAAGAUGCUUUCUGUAGUAACAGAUCUUUCCAUAUGGAAACUUGUCAAAUAGAGGUGUCUGUGUGCAGUUCUUCCUUUCUCUUUGGCAACAACUGUUGCUUGGAUGAUCUUUACUCUCCCCUAUAUCAGCAAAAACACCAUCCUGAUGCAGACAGCAGAUCAAACGGGAACUGGAUGUCAGGCACAUCCCUUCCCACAAGUUGGUCCCUGAGGUAGCCAUUCAUCAGUCCUUACAGUGUACCUGUAGUGUGUCCAUGUCACCUCCCAGCAGCUAAGCACACAGCUCUACACCCAGCCUUGAAGGCCACGCAUCCAUGUGGCUCUGGAGGCACGUGACGGCUUAGGACUCGAUCUGGGUGCAGGCCUUGGAAUGCUCCUCACUGCUUAGGCAUGGCACUGGUUACAGAAGGCUGGUUCUCAAGCUGCAGGUUUUAACUGGUCUUAAAGAUCUCAAGACCCUCCAGCAUCAUCUGUUAAAAGAAAUACCAAAAGCUAAAAUUCAGCUAAAAAAGUAC
This 1422-nucleotide long non-coding RNA is filed under the name Heterocephalus glaber (naked mole-rat). Its description in RNAcentral is "lncRNA (ENSHGLG00000034680.1)". The record is from RNAcentral. Lineage: Eukaryota; Metazoa; Chordata; Mammalia; Rodentia; Bathyergidae.